GAUGAACGCUGGCGGCGUGCCUAAUACAUGCAAGUCGAGCGAACGGACGAGAAGCUUGCUUCUCUGAUGUUAGCGGCGGACGGGUGAGUAACACGUGGAUAACCUACCUAUAAGACUGGGAUAACUUCGGGAAACCGGAGCUAAUACCGGCUGAUAUUUUGAACCGCAUGGUUCAAAAGUGAAAGACGGUCUUGCUGUCACUUAUAGAUGGAUCCGCGCUGCAUUAGCUAGUUGGUAAGGUAACGGCUUACCAAGGCAACGAUGCAUAGCCGACCUGAGAGGAUGAUCGGCCACACAGGAACUGAGACACGGUCCAGACUCCUACGGGAGGCAGCAGUAGGGAAUCUUGCGCAAUGGGCGAAAGCCUGACGGAGCAACGCCGCGUGAGUGAUGAAGGUCUUCGGAUCGUAAAACUCUGUUAUUAGGGAAGAACAUAUGUGUAAGUAACUGUGCACAUCUUGACGGUACCUAAUCAGAAAGCCACGGCUAACUACGUG
Molecule: ribosomal RNA, 497 nt
Filed under: uncultured bacterium
Lineage: Bacteria
Description: partial 16S ribosomal RNA
Rfam family: Bacterial small subunit ribosomal RNA
Source: RNAcentral